CUAUUUGUAUAGCAUAAUUCCCAAGAUACUCAAUUCACAAAUGGGCCCACUUGUUGGAUUUGCUGGUUGGAGCCAGUCUUUUAAAAGUUGAAGAAGGAAAUCCUCUCGGGGUGUGUAUAAAAGGAAGAGAGACAGAAUCUAAUCCUUCAUGGCACACUGGCUGCCUGCCAACUGCUGCAGAGGAAUUCAGAAGCACAGAGCCUGGAAGGCAGCCCAUCGGGAGGCUGCCUGAUGACAGAGAGAGCAUCCCAUGAGCUGCUGCAGCCCCUCCAUCCAUGGCCCCCACAAAGCGGGGGCGACAGGAAAGACAGAAGUAAAACUGUCUUUAUUCACAGAUGACAAAACUGUCUACAUGGAAAUUCAAUGGAAUCUACAAAAAAGCUACUGGAACUAAUAAAUGAUGAUGGAAUAUCUGCUUGUUCUGACAAGGAUUCUCAAGAGGACUCCACUUAAUUCAAAGGCUUCAGAAGCAAAGGAGGAGAAGAGGAGGCAAGCAGAUGAACAGUGCAGCAGAGAAAAAGAGAAGAGAAGGAAUGUCUGAACAACAAGAGGAAUUCAGCUGGGGGGCAGUCAGAGAGGAAUUCAGCUGCCGGACAGCCAAACUCCAGGGGAAGAUCACCUUCCCACUCCAUCCCCCUUUCAGCUCCCCAUCCAUCCCACUGAGAGCCACCUCCACCACUCAAUAAAACCCCUACAUUCAUCCUUCAA
Pan troglodytes (chimpanzee) is the source of this 708-nucleotide long non-coding RNA. RefSeq lists it as uncharacterized. The record is from RefSeq and is a predicted model, not a curated record. The transcript is spliced from 4 exons. Lineage: Eukaryota; Metazoa; Chordata; Mammalia; Primates; Hominidae.